GUGGGGAAUAUUGGGCAAUGGAUGCAAGUCUGACCCAGCCAUCCCGCGUGCCGGAAGAAGGCCCUCAGGGUUGUAAACGGCUUUUGACGGUGAAGAAUCGACAGGAUGCGUCCUGUUUUGACGGUAGCCGUUGAAUAAGCACCGGCUAACUCCGUGCCAGCAGCCGCGGUAAUACGGAGGGUGCGAGCGGUGUCCGGAUUUAUUGGGUUUAAAGGGUGCGUAGGCUGGAAGGUCAGUCAGCGGUGAAAAGCUGUCGCUUAACGAUAGUCUUGCCGCAGAUACUUCCUUUCUUGGAUGAGGAGGAGGCCACUGGAACGGAUGGUGUAGCGGUGAAAUGCAUAGAUAUCAUCCAGAACACCGAUUGCGAAGGCAGGUGGCUGUACCUUAAUCGACGCUGAUGCACGAAAGCAUGGGGAGCAAACAGGAUUAGAAACCCUAGUAGUCC
RNAcentral lists this ribosomal RNA (445 nucleotides) under uncultured bacterium. RNAcentral's name for it is "partial 16S ribosomal RNA". It matches the Rfam family "Bacterial small subunit ribosomal RNA", at positions 354 to 796 of the family's 1533-position model. The record is from RNAcentral.